Molecule: transfer RNA, 75 nt
Filed under: Gordonia phage GodonK
Lineage: Duplodnaviria; Heunggongvirae; Uroviricota; Caudoviricetes
Also listed under: 1 other name
Description: tRNA-Ile
Source: RNAcentral
GCUGGAUGGUCCGGACGGUAUGACGGAAGAACUCUUAUAAGGUUCCUGACAAGGUUCAAUUCCUUGAUCCAGCAC